CUUGUACUCCCUCCGGCCGAAAAUACUUGCCAUUGAAAUGGAUGUAUCUAGAUGUAUUUUAGUUCUAGACACAUCCAUUUUGAUGACAAGUAAUUCCGGAUGGAGGGAGUACUUG
This is a non-coding RNA of Triticum aestivum (bread wheat), 115 nucleotides long. The record is from Rfam. NCBI's taxonomy places the organism in Eukaryota, Viridiplantae, Streptophyta, Magnoliopsida, Poales, Poaceae.